Molecule: ribosomal RNA, 301 nt
Filed under: uncultured bacterium
Lineage: Bacteria
Description: partial 16S ribosomal RNA
Rfam family: Bacterial small subunit ribosomal RNA
Source: RNAcentral
CAGCAGCCGCGGGAAUACGAAGGGUGCAAGCGUUAAUCGGAAUUACUGGGCGUAAAGCGUGCGUAGGCGGUGAGUUAAGUCUGCUGUGAAAUCCCCGGGCUCAACCUGGGAAUGGCAGUGGAUACUGGCUCGCUAGAGUGUGUCAGAGGAUGGUGGAAUUCCCGGUGUAGCGGUGAAAUGCGUAGAGAUCGGGAGGAACAUCAGUGGCGAAGGCGGCCAUCUGGGACAACACUGACGCUGAGGCACGAAAGCGUGGGGAGCAAACAGGAUUAGAUACCCGAGUAGUCCCUGUCUCUUAUAC